GCCUUCAUAGCUCAGUGGUACGAGCGCCGCACUUGUAAUGCGAAGGUUCAUAGUUCAAUCCUACGUGGAGCCA
This 73-nucleotide transfer RNA is filed under the name Fusarium oxysporum. RNAcentral's name for it is "tRNA-Thr". It matches the Rfam family "tRNA". Rfam says of the family: Transfer RNA (tRNA) molecules are approximately 80 nucleotides in length. Their secondary structure includes four short double-helical elements and three loops (D, anti-codon, and T loops). Lineage: Eukaryota; Fungi; Ascomycota; Sordariomycetes; Hypocreales; Nectriaceae. The record is from RNAcentral. RNAcentral also lists the same sequence under 1 other name.